This 255-nucleotide ribosomal RNA is filed under the name uncultured bacterium. Its description in RNAcentral is "partial 16S ribosomal RNA". It matches the Rfam family "Bacterial small subunit ribosomal RNA", at positions 524 to 776 of the family's 1533-position model. The record is from RNAcentral.
UACGUAGGGUGCGAGCGUUAAUCGGAAUUACUGGGCGUAAAGCGUGCGCAGGCGGCGCGUUUAAGACAGGUGUGAAAGCCCCCGAGCUUAACUUGGGAAUUGCGCUUGUGACUGGCGUGCUGGAGUGUGGCAGAGGGAGGUGGAAUUCCACGUGUAGCAGUGAAAUGCGUAGAGAUGUGGAGGAACACCGAUGGCGAAGGCAGCCUCCUGGGCCAGCACUGACGCUCAUGCACGAAAGCGUGGGGAGCAAACAGG